RNAcentral lists this long non-coding RNA (535 nucleotides) under Dromaius novaehollandiae (emu). RNAcentral describes it as "lncRNA (ENSDNVG00000001060.1)". The record is from RNAcentral. Lineage: Eukaryota; Metazoa; Chordata; Aves; Casuariiformes; Dromaiidae.
UCAGACAGAGAAUAAGCUCUUCUGCAAAUCUGGAGGAAUACAAAGCAUCUGUAGGAUUUCCACUGUAAUGGAUGUUAGAAGUUACCUGAAGGAAUUUAAUUUGCUUUCUCAUUUCUUUGUUUGCUGUCAUACCACAGAACUCUGGUACAGUAUGUCUUAGAAAAUACUCCAUAUUUCUCAACAAGUCAAACAUAGAACGAUGACUGCAUGCUGAGGGCAGCCCUCUUUAUGGAAAAAAAAAUAAAUACAGCAGCCUCCUUGAGUGUGGAGCUUACUGAAUACCAAAAAUGAAAGAACCCUGGAAGGGAUGUCCCAGAGUGAAACUGCCGGGACAGCUGGAAACCAGGCAGAUGGCGAUUAUGGCGGUGAUGCAAUCUGUAAGCCCCUGAGUUUGCAGGAGUGCCAAGGUCGCUGUUCUGGAAACUGAGCUUAUUGCAGUGCCUACGUGGGAAGGAAGUGGAAUAUCCAAGCCUGUUCCCUUGAAUUUAGCAGUUCAGGUAAAAAUGAACCCAGAUCCAAACCACCUUGCUUUUUU